GUGGGCGUCUUCUAAUGGUUAGGAAAUCUCGUUGUGGCCGUGAAAAUGUCGGUUCGAUUCCGGCCGCCCACA
Molecule: transfer RNA, 72 nt
Filed under: Uromyces viciae-fabae
Lineage: Eukaryota; Fungi; Basidiomycota; Pucciniomycetes; Pucciniales; Pucciniaceae
Also listed under: 3 other names
Description: tRNA-His (GTG) (tRNA-His-GTG-1 1 to 3)
Rfam family: tRNA
About the family: Transfer RNA (tRNA) molecules are approximately 80 nucleotides in length. Their secondary structure includes four short double-helical elements and three loops (D, anti-codon, and T loops).
Source: RNAcentral